AUCAAAGCUGGCGGGACUCGGCGAGAUAAACACUACUUCACCUAAGAGACUUGAGUAUCCAGUUCUUCAUUGACCUUCAGCAUUCAGUUGUUUGUCUUCACCUUUUCAGGUAAGCAAUUAAAAAAAAAUGCUUUUGUAAUGUUGAGAAACACUGAAAUUAUUAUUCAUAAAAAACUUUCAACCACUGUUCUGUGAUGUCACGUAUAGUGAUAUACAAAUAUAUCUGAAGGAAAGGUGUAUUUGGGAUAAUCAAUAUUAUUAGUAUUAUUCAUGUAUUUAUUCAUUUUUAAAUCAGAGAAUGGGGGAAAAUAGAUUAUUAGUACAAAAACUAGUAACUAGUAAAAAAAAAAAAUUGGUAACAAUAAUGUUCAUUCAUUAAUUGACGCUUGGUCAAACUCUCAUCUAAUUAAGUAUUGCUGUCUCAUUAAUGUAUUUAUUUAUUUUGUCGGCUAAAACCUGAGGAGAAGAAGAAGAUGACUUUAUUAAUCCCACAAUGGGGAAAUUCAACCUCUGCAUUUAACCCAUCCUUUUUUACACACAAGUGAACACACCAUGCAAGGAGCAGUGGGCAGCACAUUACUGCGCCCGAAGCCAUCACCAUGUUGUUUUUUCACAUCAGAAUAAGUAUUUCACAUGAUGCAGAUCUUUCAGCAUGUGGUCCUCAAUAUAUAGUAUAGAAGUCACUGUAUUUUCUGACUUUUCCAGGUUUCCUGUGUCCAGCAUCUUCAAGACAGACUAAGCUAACUUUUCAUAUUUUUUGCACAUUUAUAUUUAGUUUAGGUUAGGAGUAGGUUAGGUUUAUAGUAGAGUAUUUAGUUUGUAUAGUUUAGCUUUUUAUGCUGGUCUAGGGACAGUUAAGUUAGCAAAUUAAUUUAGUUCAGAUCACUUACAGUUGCAUAUUAUUGUUACAAUUGUGUUAUUUUGUGAGUUAUUGUUGUACAGGCUAUUGUAUAUUGCAGGACCAAGUGAGACGAGGAAGACCACUGCUUCCAAGAUGCCGCGCUCAGAAAGUGCGUUGGACAAGUCUCGACCUUGCAGAUCCUGCCCCACUGAGCCCAACCACUUCCGACCAUGGGGUACCUCAAAGACCUCCGUCAACCAGCCGGCUGUGGAUGAUGUAUAACGCACCCACAACUCCUUCUCCAGUCUACAAGACACCCCCACAGUCCAAGAACAGCUGGAUGACCUCUGGACCCACUUGCCCCCGUUCACCAGUUGAAAAGAUAGGCUUUUUAAAAAAUUCUUCAAUUGUUAAUUCUGCACAAAGUGAUACACAAAACAUUGUAUGUCUUCCAUUUCAACAAACACAAACAUGAAAUGUAUAUUUCAAUACAUAACUUAAUGCAAAUCAAUCAUACUAAACAUCAUCUUUUUUUUUAAACCAA
Long non-coding RNA from Centropristis striata (black sea bass), 1385 nucleotides. RefSeq lists it as uncharacterized. The record is from RefSeq and is a predicted model, not a curated record. The transcript is spliced from 3 exons. Lineage: Eukaryota; Metazoa; Chordata; Actinopteri; Perciformes; Serranidae.